CAGAAAAUAAUAUAGUAUUAGUAUGUAAAUUUUGGAGAUUUGUUGGGAUAGUAUCUUUUCUGA
Molecule: transfer RNA, 63 nt
Filed under: Rhipicephalus linnaei
Lineage: Eukaryota; Metazoa; Arthropoda; Arachnida; Ixodida; Ixodidae
Description: tRNA-Pro
Source: RNAcentral